GAAAGCCUGACGGAGCGACGCCGCGUGAACGAAGAAGGCCGUGAGGUUGUAAAGUUCUUUUCGGGAGGGGGAAUGACCGUGGCAGGGAAUGGCCGCGGGAUGACGUGAAUCCCGGAAUAAGCCCCGGCUAACUACGUGCCAGCAGCCGCGGUAACACGUAGGGGGCGAGCGUUGUUCGGAAUCAUUGGGCGUAAAGGGCGUGCAGGCGGCASUGCAAGUCCGGCGUGAAAGACCCCGGCCCAACCGGGGGGGUGCGCUGGAAACUGCGGUGCUUGAGUACAGGAGGGGAUGCCGGAAUUCCAGGUGUAGGGGUGAAAUCUGUAGAUAUCUGGAAGAACACCGAUGGCGAAGGCAGGCAUCUGGCCAUGUACUGACGCUGAGACGCGAAGGUGCGGGGAGCAAACAGGUUUAGAUACCCUGGUAGUCC
RNAcentral lists this ribosomal RNA (427 nucleotides) under uncultured bacterium. RNAcentral describes it as "bacterial SSU rRNA". It matches the Rfam family "Bacterial small subunit ribosomal RNA", at positions 377 to 796 of the family's 1533-position model. The record is from RNAcentral.